This 231-nucleotide long non-coding RNA is filed under the name Mytilus galloprovincialis (Mediterranean mussel). Lineage: Eukaryota; Metazoa; Mollusca; Bivalvia; Mytilida; Mytilidae. The record is from RNAcentral.
GGGCUCGAUAUUACUGACAAUGAAACAUUUCUGAGAUUUUGGCGCCAACAUUGUUUUCACACUGAAGCUGAUAGAAUUUGUGUCUUUUCAAUAUAAAAUCAAUGGAACUGAUAAAAUAGUUGUGCGUUUGUUCUUUAGAUGUAACUAAUAGCCAUAGGCAAACAGGUUGACGCAAAAAUACUAUCGCACUGGCCGCUUCUCACAAACGACACCUAUUUCUUUACAAUUGGU